Molecule: small nuclear RNA, 102 nt
Organism: Phyllostomus discolor (pale spear-nosed bat)
Lineage: Eukaryota; Metazoa; Chordata; Mammalia; Chiroptera; Phyllostomidae
Source: RefSeq, a predicted model, not a curated record
GUUCUCACUUUGGCAACACAUACUAAAAUUGGAAUGAUACAAAUAUUAGUAUGGCCUCUGCACAAGGAGGACAUGUAAACUCAUGAUUUAUUCCAUAUUUUU